Molecule: ribosomal RNA, 460 nt
Filed under: uncultured bacterium
Lineage: Bacteria
Description: partial 16S ribosomal RNA
Rfam family: Bacterial small subunit ribosomal RNA
Source: RNAcentral
CCUACGGGGGGCAGCAGUGAGGAAUAUUGGUCAAUGGACGAGAGUCUGAACCAGCCAAGUAGCGUGAAGGAUGACUGCCCUAUGGGUUGUAAACUUCUUUUAUAUGGGAAUAAAAUGUUCCACGUGUGGGAUUUUGUAUGUACCAUAUGAAUAAGGAUCGGCUAACUCCGUGCCAGCAGCCGCGGUAAUACGGAGGAUCCGAGCGUUAUCCGGAUUUAUUGGGUUUAAAGGGAGCGUAGGUGGAUUGUUAAGUCAGUUGUGAAAGUUUGCGGCUCAACCGUAAAAUUGCAGUUGAAACUGGCAGUCUUGAGUCCAGUAGAGGUGGGCGGAAUUCGUUGUGUAGCGGUGAAAUGCUUAGAUAUCACGAAGAACUCCGAUUGCGAAGGCAGUUCACUGGACUGCAACUGACGCUGAGGCUCGAAAGUGUGGGUAUCAAACAGGAUUAGAUACCCUAGUAGUC